UCGGCAACGGAUAUCUCGGCUCUCGCAUCGAUGAAGAACGUAGCGAAA
Molecule: ribosomal RNA, 48 nt
Filed under: Noccaea fendleri subsp. glauca
Lineage: Eukaryota; Viridiplantae; Streptophyta; Magnoliopsida; Brassicales; Brassicaceae
Description: partial 5.8S ribosomal RNA
Source: RNAcentral